CCUACGGGUGGCAGCAGUGGGGAAUAUUGCACAAUGGGCGCAAGCCUGAUGCAGCCAUGCCGCGUGUAUGAAGAAGGCCUUCGGGUUGUAAAGUACUUUCAGUGGGGAGGAAGGGAGUAAAGUUAAUACCAUUACGUAUUGACGAUACCCGUAGAAGAAGCACCGGCUAACUCCGUGCCAGCAGCCGCGGUAAUACGGAGGAUGCAAGCGUUAAUCGGAUUUACUGGGCGUAAAGCGCACGCAGGCGGUUUGUUAAGUCAGAUGUGAAAUCCCCGGGCUCAACCUGAGAACUGCAUUUGAUACUGGCAGGCUUGAGUCUCGUAGAGGGGGGUAGAAUUCGAGGUGUAGCGGUGAAAUGCGUAGAGAUCUCGAAGAAUGCCGAUGGCGAAGGCAGCCCCCUGGACGGAAACUGACACUCAGGUGCGAAAGCGUGGGGAGCAAACAGGAUUAGAUACCCCAGUAGUC
RNAcentral lists this ribosomal RNA (465 nucleotides) under uncultured bacterium. Its description in RNAcentral is "partial 16S ribosomal RNA". It matches the Rfam family "Bacterial small subunit ribosomal RNA", at positions 338 to 795 of the family's 1533-position model. The record is from RNAcentral.